Biomphalaria pfeifferi is the source of this 264-nucleotide non-coding RNA. The record is from the annotation of a GenBank genome assembly. NCBI's taxonomy places the organism in Eukaryota, Metazoa, Mollusca, Gastropoda, Planorbidae.
UUUUGUUCUUUUAGAGAAGUUUUAUUGCUUUCAAUGGUUUAGAUUUACUUCUGUAGUUAAUGUUUUUCAUGACUUUAACAAAACUCAACAGUUCCAAAAUUGCUAGUAUUUUUAAAAAAAUUACUUUUACAAUACAAGGUGCCGCGCGUUCAUGGAAACAGCUGCCUGAUGCGCGUAACGGCGCAGGAUGAUUUUAAAGUCUUGGCGUACAUCCAAAAUUUAGUUUACUAAUGAAAGACCAUAGACAUAAAUAAAUAUAGACUG